GGGCCCGCACAAGCGGAGGAGCAUGUGGUUUAAUUCGAUGAUACGCGAGGAACCUUACCUGGGCUUGAAUGCUAUAUCUCGCAAGAGAGUGUCUGUAGAAAUGCAGAUGAAAAUUGCAAGGUGCUGCAUGGCUGUCGUCAGCUCGUGCCGUGAGGUGUCGGGUUAAGUCCCAUAACGAGCGCAACCCCUAUCAUUAGUUGCCAUCAGGUAAUGCUGGGUACUCUAAUGAAACUGCCUACGCAAGUAGUGAGGAAGGUGGGGAUGACGUCAAGUCAGCACGGCCCUUACGUCCAGGGCUACACACGUGCUACAAUGGCCGGUACAGAGGGCAGCUACUUGGUGACAAGAUGCAAAUCUCUAAAACCGGUCUCAGUUCGGAUCGAAGUCUGCAACUCGACUUCGUGAAGUUGGAUUCGCUAGUAAUCGGAUAUCAGCAAUGAUCCGGUGAAUACGUUCCCGGGCCUU
RNAcentral lists this ribosomal RNA (465 nucleotides) under uncultured bacterium. Its description in RNAcentral is "bacterial SSU rRNA". It matches the Rfam family "Bacterial small subunit ribosomal RNA", at positions 917 to 1382 of the family's 1533-position model. The record is from RNAcentral.